This is a long non-coding RNA of Panthera uncia (snow leopard), 908 nucleotides long. RefSeq lists it as uncharacterized. The transcript is spliced from 3 exons. Lineage: Eukaryota; Metazoa; Chordata; Mammalia; Carnivora; Felidae. The record is from RefSeq and is a predicted model, not a curated record.
GAGGCGGGGCCGCGCCGGGGCGGGGCUGCGGGGGUCUCGCCGGGGCCGGCCCGGUGAGUCCGCGGCCCAGUCCGUUCAGAAUCUGCUCGGCAGGCUGUGUGCUCAGCCGGAACCCAAAGCUCAUUCUUCUCGUUCUCGGACAAGCCAAGAGUCGGACUCUGAUUCAUUUCUGCGCACAGAACAGAGCCCGGUGCCCUAAGGCGCUCAGCGAAUGCUAAUAGGACAGAUGGAUGAAUGGAUAAAGUCCCAUCUCCUUGUGAUGAGCCCCCAGAAAGCCGAGGAGUGAAGAUCUACCGGCACACCAUUGGCUUCCAGAGAAGGUGUUCCUCUUCGAGAACAGGGGUAGACCCGCUGAUGCUGCUUUUUCUCGGCAGUGGAGCUCAUUCGUUUACCUUUGGACACACAUGUGACCCCUGGACCCGUAGCAGCCACUUGACAACGAGCAAAGUCAGAAGCAGAUCCUGACCCUUCCAUCCUGGAGCCACUGGAUCAAGACACGGAAUCGCCUGCCUCCAGAUUCCCUGUGGAGCAGGAAAAGCAAACCCCCUUGGCUGUGUAAGCCAGUGCUGGUCAAUUCUUCUGUUACUUACGGAACUCCUGACCGACAUAUAUAGGCAUUCAACACGUGUCUGUCACAUAGAGAAACCCAGCCUGACUCUCUCCUUCCUCAUCAGUGGCCAUCCUAUUUGGGCCCCAUGAUCACUGACACGAAAUUCACCACGCAGUGAACCAGUCCGGGCAGGUUUCAUAGCUCUGACUCGUAGAAAGGUUUGUCCUAUAUGAAAAUAAAAUGUCGGGACCUCCCGGAACCUCAGAAAAUAAGCCCAAUCCCUGUCUGCCACCACAGUCCUAAUAGAAAGAGAGCAUUCAUUCAAUAGGAAAAUAAAUCAGGGCUCAAUGACCCCAAA